Molecule: ribosomal RNA, 490 nt
Filed under: uncultured bacterium
Lineage: Bacteria
Description: partial 16S ribosomal RNA
Rfam family: Bacterial small subunit ribosomal RNA
Source: RNAcentral
GGUGAACGCUAGCGGCAGGCCUAAUACAUGCAAGUCGAACGGGAUCCAGAUCAAAGCUUGCUUUGGUCUGGUGAGAGUGGCGCACGGGUGCGUAACGCGUGAGCAACCUACCCUUGUCAGGGGGAUAGCCCGGCGAAAGUCGGAUUAAUACCGCAUGACAUCAUUGAGAGGCAUCUUUCGAUGAUCAAAGAUUUAUCGGACAAGGAUGGGCUCGCGUGACAUUAGCUAGUUGGUAAGGUAACGGCUUACCAAGGCUGCGAUGUCUAGGGGCUCUGAGAGGAGAAUCCCCCACACUGGUACUGAGACACGGACCAGACUCCUACGGGAGGCAGCAGUAAGGAAUAUUGGUCAAUGGACGGAAGUCUGAACCAGCCAUGCCGCGUGCAGGAAGACGGCCCUAUGGGUUGUAAACUGCUUUUAUACGGGAACAAACGUCGGUACGUGUACCGGUCUGAGUGUACCGUAAGAAUAAGGAUCGGCUAACUCCGUG